AAUGUCAGUUAGUGUUUGUAUGUGAUUUUCACCAUAAUUAAGCAGCUGUAUUGAGUUUGGUGUUUUGGAGCCCUCCUUUGGAGAAACGGUGUACUGCAGCUCUGCUGCGUUUUGUCCUUGUGUUGUUGCCAUACCCGAUCAGAAGCGGGAUGCUUUACAUCGGAUGCUGUUAUAUGUACACCAGUGCCUGAAGGCAUGUUUUGUUCUGAUUUUUCCAAAGGUAUGUUGCUUCAUAUGUUAAAUGUGAAUUAGUUUCAGAAUGAGGAAAUAUUUUCCUGUGUUUAUUUUUCUUAUGUUUAUUUUAUACCCUUCUUGUAUGCUAAAGGUGUAUCCUUCUGUAUGAAUGUUUCUUUUGUAACAAUUUACCAAAGAGAUGAGAAGCGGGAUGCUUUACAUCGGAUGCUGUUAUAUGUACACCAGUGCCUGAAGGCAUGUUUUGUUCUGAUUUUUCCAAAGAUUCUCCAAAGGAAUAAAUGUGAGAAAAGCCA
Molecule: long non-coding RNA, 488 nt
Organism: Rhinichthys klamathensis goyatoka
Lineage: Eukaryota; Metazoa; Chordata; Actinopteri; Cypriniformes; Leuciscidae
Exons: 2
Source: RefSeq, a predicted model, not a curated record